RNAcentral lists this transfer RNA (72 nucleotides) under bacterium. RNAcentral describes it as "tRNA-Lys". It matches the Rfam family "tRNA". From Rfam's summary of the family: Transfer RNA (tRNA) molecules are approximately 80 nucleotides in length. The record is from RNAcentral. RNAcentral also lists the same sequence under 3 other names.
GGUCCGGUAGCUCAAUGGUAGAGCAAAAGCCUUUUAAGCUUUGGGUUCAGGGUUCGAGUCCCUGCCGGAUCA